Molecule: ribosomal RNA, 468 nt
Filed under: uncultured bacterium
Lineage: Bacteria
Description: partial 16S ribosomal RNA
Rfam family: Bacterial small subunit ribosomal RNA
Source: RNAcentral
GACGAACGCUGGCGGCGUGCUUAACACAUGCAAGUCGAACGGAAGGGCCCUGCUUUUGUGGGGUGCUCGAGUGGCGAACGGGUGAGUAACACGUGAGUAACCUGCCCUUGACUUUGGGAUAACUUCAGGAAACUGGGGCUAAUACCGGAUAGGAGCUCCUGCUGCAUGGUGGGGGUUGGAAAGUUUCGGCGGUUGGGGAUGGACUCGCGGCUUAUCAGCUUGUUGGUGGGGUAGUGGCUUACCAAGGCUUUGACGGGUAGCCGGCCUGAGAGGGUGACCGGCCAAAAUGGGGACGAGGAUACGGCCCGGACUCGUAGGGGGGGAAGAGGGGGGGAAUAUGGAACAAGGGGCGAAGGCCUAAGGAGGCAACGCGGGGGGGGGAAGGACGGCCUUGGGGUGGUAAACGGCUUUGGCCGGUAAGGAGGGGGAGGGAAGGGAAUGGGUAAAGAAGCACCGGCUAACUACGUG